Molecule: ribosomal RNA, 460 nt
Filed under: uncultured bacterium
Lineage: Bacteria
Description: partial 16S ribosomal RNA
Rfam family: Bacterial small subunit ribosomal RNA
Source: RNAcentral
CCUACGGGUGGCAGCAGUGAGGAAUAUUGGUCAAUGGGCGGAAGCCUGAACCAGCCAAGUAGCGUGCAGGAUGACGGCCCUACGGGAUGUAAACUGCUUUUAUACGGGAAUAACGCGCCUUACGUGUAGGGCUUUGCAUGUACCGUAUGAAUAAGGACCGGCUAAUUCCGUGCCAGCAGCCGCGUUAAUACGGAAGGUCCGGGCGUUAUCCGUGUUUAUUGGUUUUAAAGGGGGCGUAGGCCGCAUGUCAAGCGUGCUGUUAAAAUGCCGGGCGCAACCCGGGCCUUGCAGCGCGAACUGGCGUGCUUGAGUCCGCGGAAGGCAGGCGGAAUUCGGGGUGUAGCGGUGAAAUGCUUAGAUAUGACGAAGAACCCCGAUUGCGAAGGCAGCUUGCUGCAGCGGAACUGACGCUGAUGCUCGAAAGCGCGGGUAUCGAACAGGAUUAGAUACCCGAGUAGUC